Molecule: ribosomal RNA, 269 nt
Filed under: uncultured Planctomycetales bacterium
Lineage: Bacteria; Pseudomonadati; Planctomycetota; Planctomycetia; Planctomycetales
Description: partial 16S ribosomal RNA
Rfam family: Bacterial small subunit ribosomal RNA
Source: RNAcentral
GAGCACGUAGGUGGGUUUGUAAGUCAGAUGUGAAAGCCUUCUGUUCAACGGAAGAAUUGCAUCUGAAACUGCGAGUCUUGAGUGUAGGAGGGGAGAAUGGAACUUCUGGUGGAGCGGUGAAAUGCGUAGAUAUCAGAAGGAACGCCGGCGGCGAAAGCGAUUCUCUGGCCUAUUACUGACACUCAGUGUGCGAAAGCUAGGGGAGCAAACGGGGUUAGAUACCCCGGUAGUCCUAGCCGUAAACGAUGGGCACUAAGUAGAGGGGUUUU